GAUGAACGCUGGCGGCGUGCCUAAUACAUGCCAGUCGAGCGAACGGACGAGAAGCUUGCUUUUCUGAUGUUAGCGGCGGACGGGUGAGUAACACGUGGAUAACCUACCUAUAAGACUGGGAUAACUUCGGGAAACCGGAGCUAAUACCGGAUAAUAUUUUGAACCGCAUGGUUCAAAAGUGAAAGACGGUCUUGCUGUCACUUAUAGAUGGAUCCGCGCUGCAUUAGCUAGUUGGUAAGGUAACGGCUUACCAAGGCAACGAUGCAUAGCCGACCUGAGAGGGUGAUCGGCCACACUGGAACUGAGACACGGUCCAGACUCCUACGGGAGGCAGCAGUAGGGAAUCUUCCGCAAUGGGCGAAAGCCUGACGGAGCAACGCCGCGUGAGUGAUGAAGGUCUUCGGAUCGUAAAACUCUGUUAUUAGGGAAGAACAUAUGUGUAAGUAACUGUGCACAUCCUGACGGUACCUAAUCAGAAAGCCACGGCUAACUACGUG
RNAcentral lists this ribosomal RNA (497 nucleotides) under uncultured bacterium. RNAcentral describes it as "partial 16S ribosomal RNA". It matches the Rfam family "Bacterial small subunit ribosomal RNA", at positions 28 to 507 of the family's 1533-position model. The record is from RNAcentral.